RNAcentral lists this unclassified non-coding RNA (378 nucleotides) under plant metagenome. RNAcentral describes it as "partial contains 5.8S ribosomal RNA, internal transcribed spacer 2, and large subunit ribosomal RNA". The stretch from base 1 to 105 matches the Rfam family "5.8S ribosomal RNA", at positions 50 to 154 of the family's 154-position model. The record is from RNAcentral.
GAAAUGCGAUCAGUAAUGUGAAUUGCAGAAUUCAGUGAAUCAUCGAAUCUUUGAACGCACCUUGCGCUCCUUGGUAUUCCUUGGAGCAUGCCUGUUUGAGUAUCAUGAAAUCUUCAAAGUAAAUCUUUUGUUAACUCAAUUGGUUUCUACUUUGGUAUUGGAGGUCUUUGCAGCUUCACACCUGCUCCUCUUUGUUCAUUAGCUGGAUCUCAGUGUUAUGCUUGGUUCCACUCGGCGUGAUAAGUUAUCUAUCGCUGAGGACACUGUAAAAGGUGGCCAAGGUAAAUGCAGAUGAACCGCUUCUAAUAGUCCAUUGACUUGGACAAUACUUUUAUGAUCUGAUCUCAAAUCAGGUAGGACUACCCGCUGAACUUAAGC